CUACGGGCGGCACCAGUGAGGAAUAUUGCACAAUGGGGGGAACCCUGAUGCAGCAACGCCGCGUGGAGGAUGACGCAUUUCGGUGUGUAAACUCCUUUUAUAUGUCAAGAAAAUGACGGUAGCAUAUGAAUAAGCACCGGCUAACUCCGUGCCAGCAGCCGCGGUAAUACGGAGGGUGCAAGCGUUACUCGGAAUCACUGGGCGUAAAGGACGCGUAGGCGGGUUGGAAAGUCAGGUGUGAAAUCCUACAGCCUAACUGUAGAACUGCACUUGAAACUUCUAAUCUAGAGUAUGGGAGGGGGAGAUGGAAUUAGUGGUGUAGGGGUAAUAUCCGUAGAUAUCACUAGGAAUACCUAAAGCGAAGGCGAUCUCCUGGAACAUUACUGACGCUAAGGCGUGAAAGCGUGGGGAGCAAACAGGAUUAGAUACCCCGGUAGUC
RNAcentral lists this ribosomal RNA (439 nucleotides) under uncultured bacterium. RNAcentral describes it as "partial 16S ribosomal RNA". It matches the Rfam family "Bacterial small subunit ribosomal RNA", at positions 339 to 795 of the family's 1533-position model. The record is from RNAcentral.